Molecule: ribosomal RNA, 439 nt
Filed under: uncultured bacterium
Lineage: Bacteria
Description: partial 16S ribosomal RNA
Rfam family: Bacterial small subunit ribosomal RNA
Source: RNAcentral
CUACGGGGUGCUGCAGUGGGGAAUAUUGCACAAUGGAGGAAACUCUGAUGCAGCAACGCCGCGUGGAGGAUGACGCAUUUCGGUGUGUAAACUCCUUUUAUAUAAGAAGAACAUGACGGUAUUAUAUGAAUAAGCACCGGCUAACUCCGUGCCAGCAGCCGCGGUAAUACGGAGGGUGCAAGCGUUACUCGGAAUCACUGGGCGUAAAGAGCGUGUAGGCGGAUUAAAAAGUCAGAAGUGAAAUCCUAUAGCUUAACUAUAGAACUGCUUCUGAAACUCUUAAUCUAGAAUAUGGGAGAGGUAGAUGGAAUUUCUGGUGUAGGGGUAAAAUCCGUAGAGAUCAGAAGGAAUACCGAUUGCGAAGGCGAUCUACUAGAACAUUAUUGACGCUGAGACGCGAAAGCGUGGGGAGCAAACAGGAUUAGAUACCCGAGUAGUC